RNAcentral lists this small nucleolar RNA (136 nucleotides) under Dasypus novemcinctus (nine-banded armadillo). RNAcentral describes it as "Small nucleolar RNA SNORA1 (ENSDNOG00000040380.1)". It matches the Rfam family "Small nucleolar RNA SNORA1". Rfam says of the family: ACA1 is a member of the H/ACA class of snoRNA that guide the sites of modification of uridines to pseudouridines. Lineage: Eukaryota; Metazoa; Chordata; Mammalia; Cingulata; Dasypodidae. The record is from RNAcentral.
AACCACAAACUUCAUUGAGAAUGGACACAGUUGCUCAUGGUGUCCAGGACUGAGAAUGUUGGCUAAACUAAGACACAAAUUAUGUUUCCAUCACAGUACAUUUAUUGCAGUGGUGGCACUGAGACCUGCAAGAUUU